CGUAGGGUGCGAGCGUUAAUCGGAAUUACUGGGCGUAAAGUGUGCGCAGGUGGCCGCGCAUGUCGAGUGUGAAAUCCCCGGGCUUAACUUGGGAAUUGCGCUCGAAACUACGAGGCUGGAGUGUGGCAGAGGGAGGUGGAAUUCCACGUGUAGCGGUGAAAUGCGUAGAGAUGUGGAGGAACACCAAUGGCGAAGGCAGCCACCUGGGCCAACACUGACACUCAUGCACGAAAGCGUGGGGAGCAAACAGGAUUAGAUACCCUGGUAGUCCACGCCCUAAACGAUGAUGACUAGUUGUUGGGGGAGUUAAAUCCCUUAGUAACGCAGCUAACGCGCGAAGUCAUCCGCCUGGGGAGUACGGUCGCAAGAUUAA
Molecule: ribosomal RNA, 373 nt
Filed under: uncultured organism
Description: bacterial SSU rRNA
Rfam family: Bacterial small subunit ribosomal RNA
Source: RNAcentral